GAGUUUGAUCGUGGCUCGGGACGAACGCUGGCGGCGUGCUUAACACAUGCAAGUCGAGCGGUAAGGCCCCUUCGGGGGUACACGAGCGGCGAACGGGUGAGUAACACGUGAGCAAUCUGCCCAUCACUUUGGGAUAACUCCGGGAAACCGGAGCUAAUACAGCAUAAGACCACGAGUUUCCGAAUUCGCGGUCAAAGCGGGCCUCUCUUUAGAAGCUCGUGCUUGGGGAUGAGCCUGCGGCCCAUCAGCUAGUUGGCGGUGUAAUGGACCACCAAGGCUAAGACGGGUAGCUGGUCUGAGAGGAUGAACAGCCACACUGGAACUGAGACACGGUCCAGACUCCUACGGGAGGCAGCAGUGGGGAAUCUUGCGCAAUGGGGGAAACCCUGACGCAGCGACGCCGCGUGAGCGAUGAAGGCC
This 420-nucleotide ribosomal RNA is filed under the name uncultured delta proteobacterium. RNAcentral's name for it is "bacterial SSU rRNA". It matches the Rfam family "Bacterial small subunit ribosomal RNA", at positions 9 to 416 of the family's 1533-position model. The record is from RNAcentral. Lineage: Bacteria; Deltaproteobacteria.